AUCCAAGGUGAUUCCCUCUCCAAAGGGCUGACUGUGUGGCCUUUUUGGAAUGUAGCAACUUGGAAGAAAGCCAGGCAUGCCUGCCCAAGGCAUACUUGUUUCCUUUGCCUUCUUCCUUUGGCUGCCUACAUGU
Apodemus sylvaticus (European woodmouse) is the source of this 133-nucleotide small nucleolar RNA. RefSeq annotates it as small nucleolar RNA SNORA67. Lineage: Eukaryota; Metazoa; Chordata; Mammalia; Rodentia; Muridae. The record is from RefSeq and is a predicted model, not a curated record. The transcript has a single exon.